UACGAAGGGUGCAAACGUUGCUCGGAAUUAUUGGGCGUAAAGCGCACGUAGGCGGCUUGGCAAGUCGGAUGUGAAAGCCCUCGGCUCAACCAAGGAAGUGCAUCCGAAACUGCUGAGCUUGAGUACUUAAGAGGAUCGCGGAAUUCCAGGUGUAGCGGUGAAAUGCGUAGAUAUCUGGAGGAAUACCGGUGGCGAAGGCGGCAUCCUGGACCGGCAUUGACGCUGAGGAGCGAAAGCCAGGGGAGCAAACGGG
RNAcentral lists this ribosomal RNA (253 nucleotides) under uncultured bacterium. RNAcentral's name for it is "partial 16S ribosomal RNA". It matches the Rfam family "Bacterial small subunit ribosomal RNA", at positions 524 to 776 of the family's 1533-position model. The record is from RNAcentral.